UGGGGAAUAUUGGGCAAUGGGCGCAAGCCUGACCCAGCAACGCCGCGUGAAGGAAGAAGGCUUUCGGGUUGUAAACUUCUUUUCUGAGGGACGAAGAAAGUGACGGUACCUCAGGAAUAAGCCACGGCUAACUACGUGCCAGCAGCCGCGGUAAUACGUAGGUGGCAAGCGUUAUCCGGAUUUAUUGGGUGUAAAGGGCGUGUAGGCGGGAAUGCAAGUCAGAUGUGAAACUAUGGGCUCAACCCAUAGCCUGCAUUUGAAACUGUAUUUCUUGAGUGCUGGAGAGGCAAUCGGAAUUCCGUGUGUAGCGGUGAAAUGCGUAGAUAUACGGAGGAACACCAGUGGCGAAGGCGGAUUGCUGGACAGUAACUGACGCUGAGGCGCGAAAGCGUGGGGAGCAAACAGGAUUAGAUACCC
Molecule: ribosomal RNA, 417 nt
Filed under: uncultured bacterium
Lineage: Bacteria
Description: bacterial SSU rRNA
Rfam family: Bacterial small subunit ribosomal RNA
Source: RNAcentral